AAAGAAACAAAAGAAAAAGAAUAGAAAGUUAUAGAGAAAGAAACGUGAAAGAGAGAAAGAAAGAAGAAAAGAAAAAGAAAAAGGGAAAAUUCAAGGUUAAGGGCUUAAAGCUUGAUUGCACCGGAAUCGUCGUUGAUUGAGAAGGGAAAGGAAAAAGUGAUUGAGGAAUAGCUCGAGAAAAAUAUCGGUUAGGUAAAGCUGAAGUUCAGUUAAGCAUCCGAGUCAAUCCCGACCUCAACUCAAUUUUGGUGAUGUAUCUAUCUUUUAGAAAUGUGGCAUGUACUAGAUUUGGUGUUUGUCACUUGUAAAUGUUUUAUAUUUUGAAUGUAAAUGUAGUGCAUAAUCCUUAAGAGGUAAUGAAAUGAAUGAAUGAAUAUUUGCUAAGUUUGAAAGGUUUGAUGAAUGUUAUUUGAUCAAGAUUUAUAAGUAAA
Gossypium arboreum is the source of this 431-nucleotide long non-coding RNA. RefSeq lists it as uncharacterized. NCBI's taxonomy places the organism in Eukaryota, Viridiplantae, Streptophyta, Magnoliopsida, Malvales, Malvaceae. The record is from RefSeq and is a predicted model, not a curated record. The transcript is spliced from 3 exons.